Molecule: ribosomal RNA, 253 nt
Filed under: uncultured bacterium
Lineage: Bacteria
Description: partial 16S ribosomal RNA
Rfam family: Bacterial small subunit ribosomal RNA
Source: RNAcentral
UACGUAGGGUCCGAGCGUUGUCCGGAAUUAUUGGGCGUAAAGGGCUCGUAGGCGGUUUGUCGCGUCGGGCGUGAAAACACCGGGCUUAACUCGGUGCUUGCUUUCGAUACGGGCAGACUAGAGGCAUGCAGGGGAGAACGGAAUUCCUGGUGUAGCGGUGAAAUGCGCAGAUAUCAGGAGGAACACCGGUGGCGAAGGCGGGUCUCUGGGCAGUACCUGACGCUGAGGAGCGAAAGUGUGGGGAGCGAACAGG